Small nucleolar RNA from Acomys russatus (golden spiny mouse), 125 nucleotides. RefSeq annotates it as small nucleolar RNA SNORA17. The record is from RefSeq and is a predicted model, not a curated record. NCBI's taxonomy places the organism in Eukaryota, Metazoa, Chordata, Mammalia, Rodentia, Muridae. The transcript has a single exon.
UCUGCUUCUUGAGAUGUUGGAGGUGUGGCUGCUGUGUCACAUGUACAUCAGUAGGUGGUAGAGAGGGGAGGGGCUAUGGCUAUGCUCUGACCUAUGCACAUCUGAAUGAUUAGUAGCUUAACAGU